RNAcentral lists this small nuclear RNA (112 nucleotides) under Colobus angolensis palliatus. RNAcentral's name for it is "U5 spliceosomal RNA (ENSCANG00000008313.1)". It matches the Rfam family "U5 spliceosomal RNA". From Rfam's summary of the family: U5 RNA is a component of both types of known spliceosome. Lineage: Eukaryota; Metazoa; Chordata; Mammalia; Primates; Cercopithecidae. The record is from Rfam by way of RNAcentral.
UACUCUGGUUUCUCUUCAGGUCGUAUAAAUCUUUCGCCUUUUACUAAAGAUUUCCGUGGAGAGGAACAAAAAAAAAAAAAAAAAGAAUGUAUAUUGCAUACUUGUUGGAUGA